Molecule: ribosomal RNA, 256 nt
Filed under: uncultured bacterium
Lineage: Bacteria
Description: partial 16S ribosomal RNA
Rfam family: Bacterial small subunit ribosomal RNA
Source: RNAcentral
GACAGAGGAUGCAAGCGUUAUCCGGAAUGAUUGGGCGUAAAGCGUCUGUAGGUGGCUUUUUAAGUCCGCCGUCAAAUCCCAGGGCUCAACCCUGGACAGGCGGUGGAAACUACCAAGCUGGAGUACGGUAGGGGCAGAGGGGAAUUUCCGGUGGAGCAGGUGAAAUGCGUAGAGAUCGGAAAGAACACCAACGGCGAAAGCAACUCUGCUGGGCCGACACUGACACUGAGAAGACGAAAGCUAGGGAGCGAAUGGG